This 733-nucleotide ribosomal RNA is filed under the name Braarudosphaera bigelowii. RNAcentral describes it as "SSU rRNA". It matches the Rfam family "Eukaryotic small subunit ribosomal RNA", at positions 560 to 1307 of the family's 1831-position model. Lineage: Eukaryota; Haptophyta; Zygodiscales; Braarudosphaeraceae. The record is from RNAcentral.
AGUCUGGUGCCAGCAGCCGCGGUAAUUCCAGCUCCAAUAGCGUAUAUUAAAGUUGUUGCAGUUAAAACGCUCGUAGUCGGAUUUCGGGGCGGUUUUGCCGGUCUGCCGUUGGGUAUGCACUGGUGCGAGCGUCCUUCCUUCCGGAGACGGCGCCUGCUCUUAACUGAGUGGGUGUCRGAGACGGAUCGUUUACUUUGAAAAAAUCAGAGUGUUUCAAGCAGGCAGCUCGCUUUUGCAUGGAUUAGCAUGGRAUAAUGRAAUAGGACUUUGGUGCUAUUUUGUUGGUUUCGAACACCGAAGUAAUGAUUAACAGGGACAGUCAGGGRCACUCGUAUUCCGCCGAGAGAGGUGAAAUUCUCAGACCAGCGGAAGACGCACCACUGCGAAAGCAUUUGCCAGGGAUGUUUUCACUGAUCAAGAACGAAAGUUAGGGGAUCGAAGACGAUCAGAUACCGUCGUAGUCUUAACCAUAAACCAUGCCGACUAGGGAUUGGAGGAUGUUCCAAUGUGACUCCUUCAGCACCUUUCGGGAAACUAAAGUCUUUGGGUUCCGGGGGGAGUAUGGUYGCAAGGCUGAAACUUAAAGGAAUUGACGGAAGGGCACCACCAGGAGUGGAGCCUKCGGCUUAAUUUGACUCAACACGGGGAAACUUACCAGGUCCAGACAUUGUGAGGAUUGACAGAUUGAGAGCUCUUUCUUGAUUCGAUGGGUGGUGGUGCAUGGCCGUUCUUA